This 454-nucleotide ribosomal RNA is filed under the name Magnusiomyces spicifer. Its description in RNAcentral is "partial 26S ribosomal RNA". It matches the Rfam family "Eukaryotic large subunit ribosomal RNA", at positions 35 to 668 of the family's 3401-position model. Lineage: Eukaryota; Fungi; Ascomycota; Dipodascomycetes; Dipodascales; Dipodascaceae. The record is from RNAcentral.
UUUGCAUAUCAAUAAGCGGAGGAAAAGAAACCAACAGGGAUUGCCUUAGUAACGGCGAGUGAAGCGGCAAAAGCUCAAUUUGAAAUCGCUUCGGCGAGUUGUAAGUAAAGUGGUUAGACGCUUUUUAAUAAGUCCCUUGGAACAGGGCGCCAUAGAGGGUGAUAGCCCCGUAUUAAAUUGUCUAGUGUGCUACUUUAGAGCGAGUCGAGUUGUUUGGGAAUGCAGCUCAAAUAGGUGGUAAACUCCAUCUAAAGCUAAAUAUUGCUGGGAGACCGAUAGCGAACAAGUACAGUGAUGGAAAGAUGAAAAGCACUUUGAAAAGAGAGUGAAAUAGCGUGUGAAAUUGUUGGAGGGGAAGGCGAUGGUAGGAAUAAGAGGCUGCGGUUUGAAAUAAAUGUUUUUCGGGCCACGGUCUCCUGAGCCUGCUUUCGCACCCGUCUUGAAACACGGACCA